RNAcentral lists this transfer RNA (73 nucleotides) under Canis lupus familiaris (dog). It matches the Rfam family "tRNA". Rfam says of the family: Transfer RNA (tRNA) molecules are approximately 80 nucleotides in length. Their secondary structure includes four short double-helical elements and three loops (D, anti-codon, and T loops). Further hydrogen bonds mediate the characteristic L-shaped molecular structure. tRNAs have two regions of fundamental functional importance: the anti-codon, which is responsible for specific mRNA codon recognition, and the 3' end, to which the tRNAs corresponding amino acid is attached (by aminoacyl-tRNA synthetases). tRNAs cope with the degeneracy of the genetic code in two manners: having more than one tRNA (with a specific anti-codon) for a particular amino acid; and 'wobble' base-pairing, i.e. permitting non-standard base-pairing at the 3rd anti-codon position. RNAcentral also lists the same sequence under 2 other names. The record is from Rfam by way of RNAcentral. Lineage: Eukaryota; Metazoa; Chordata; Mammalia; Carnivora; Canidae.
GCCUUGCUGGCUUGCUUGAUAGAGCAUGUGACUCUUGAGCUCAAGGCUGUGAGUUCAAGUCCCAUGUUGGGCA